AAUAUACUUGUUGUCGCCAUUUAAACCCUAUUUUCCUGCCCUAAUAAGUUCAGUCUCUUUUGAGAUAAGUGUUGAGAAUUGAUCCGUGCCUUUUAAAUCCUAAUAUUUUUUUCCCCUGCGUCCUUUCAAGGUACCCUUGUUUUACUAAAUUCUAAUUCCAGGAAAGUGAUGGCAGAGUACGGAAGGGCGCAGGACAAAUUUUAAAGCUCUAAUGGCCGUGCAAAUGUAUGAACGGCGCCUUGCAAAAGGUUGAAAAAAAUUAAGUUUUAACGCGGUAGUGGAGAUAUGGAGUAGGAAUUCGGGAUUCGGCUUUUGGCGUUACUUCUGAAAUUCGGUCCCACACCGAAUUGUGUGCUACGGAAUUGGAUGCAUUGGAAACCAACUGUUAACCUAAUUCCUGUUUGCUGUUCUUUGCCAAUUGGAAGGAAUAAAAAUUGUCCUUUUCUGAGAAAAGACUCAUGAAUCUUAUCUUUAUUUCAACUGGUAUAAAUGCCUGGGAAAAGUAUGUGCUGUGCGCCAUAUUUUCGAAUCGAUUUCAACAGAUGUGUUGGCUACAGUGGCUGAAGCUUUGAAUCUACGCGUUGUGGCCAAGCUACCAGGGUUCCAAACAACUGAUACCAGAAAAGAGUUAAAUCUAAUUCAAUACCACUCUAAGAAGAUUUGGACCUUAAUGGAUGUUGUAAUCAAGAACAUACUAUCAUCCCUAUGAUUGAUCUCAAGUAGAGUUGAGUUAUAGCCAAAAAGGUGUGUAAUUUUGAGGUUUUGGUAGUAUAUUUUUGUUUGAGUGUUUCACUUU
Molecule: long non-coding RNA, 796 nt
Organism: Cryptomeria japonica (Japanese cedar)
Lineage: Eukaryota; Viridiplantae; Streptophyta; Pinopsida; Cupressales; Cupressaceae
Exons: 2
Source: RefSeq, a predicted model, not a curated record